This 440-nucleotide ribosomal RNA is filed under the name uncultured bacterium. Its description in RNAcentral is "bacterial SSU rRNA". It matches the Rfam family "Bacterial small subunit ribosomal RNA", at positions 338 to 771 of the family's 1533-position model. The record is from RNAcentral.
CCUACGGGUGGCAGCAGUGGGGAAUCUUGCGCAAUGGGCGAAAGCCUGACGCAGCGACGCCGCGUGAGCGAUGAAGGCCUUCGGGUUGUAAAGCUCUGUGGGGAGAGAAGAAUAAGGUCCGGCUAAUACCCGGACCGAUGACGGUAUCUCCUUAGCAAGCACCGGCUAACUCUGUGCCAGCAGCCGCGGUAAGACAGAGGGUGCAAACGUUGUUCGGAAUUACUGGGCGUAAAGCGCGUGUAGGCGGCCGCGCAAGUCGGAUGUGAAAUCCCAUGGCUCAACCAUGGAAGUGCACCCGAAACUGCGUGGCUAGAGUCCUGGAGAGGAAGGUGGAAUGCUUGGUGUAGAGGUGAAAUUCGUAGAUAUCAAGCGGAACACCGGUGGCGAAGGCGGCCUUCUGGACAGUGACUGACGCUGAGACGCGAAAGCGUGGGGAGCAA